Molecule: RNA transcript, 3464 nt
Organism: Aethina tumida (small hive beetle)
Lineage: Eukaryota; Metazoa; Arthropoda; Insecta; Coleoptera; Nitidulidae
Gene: Ide
Gene name: insulin-degrading enzyme
Exons: 19
Source: RefSeq, a predicted model, not a curated record
UAACACCAGUUUAGUGCGGAUACGAUGCAGAUCGUCAAGUUCUUGCCGGUCCUGAUCGUCGUGUUCAACAUCAUCUGGAUAUGUCACACAAGGGAGAUCCAUCACAUCGGCAAAAUCAUGGAUAUACAUCAGGAAUUGUUUCACACCUUGGGAGCCGAUAAAAAACCCAGAACCACUAUGGAUAGUCCCAUAUUGAGGCGGAUCGACAAUAUCACCAAGUCCAAAGAGGACAAAAGAUGCUACAGGGGUUUGGAGUUGAAAAAUCACAUGAAAAUUCUUCUGGUUAGUGAUCCAACUACAGACAAAUCAGCGGCUGCGAUGGAUGUUAAUGUUGGAUACUUGAGUGAUCCGAAGGAAGUUUUGGGUUUGGCUCAUUUCUGUGAACAUAUGCUGUUUUUGGGUACCAAAAAGUACCCUAAUGAGAACGACUAUAACAAAUUUUUAAGUGAACAUGGUGGCAGUAGUAAUGCAGCAACUUAUCCUGAUCAUACCCUAUAUUAUUUUGAUAUAGUACCUGAGCAUUUGAGUAAUGCACUUGAUAGAUUUUCACAAUUUUUUAUAUCACCCCUGUUUACUGAGAGUGCUACGGAAAGAGAAAUUAAUGCUGUGAACUCUGAGCAUGAAAAGAACAUCCCAAGUGAUGUCUGGAGGAUGGACCAAUUGGAUAAGCAUACAUCUAAAAAGGAUCAUCCAUAUAACACUUUUGGAACAGGUAAUAAGUAUACCCUUGAGGAACUUACAAAGCAAAACAAUAUAAAUGUGAGAGAUGAACUCUUAAAAUUCCAUGACAAAUGGUACUCUUCAAACAUUAUGUGUUUAGCAGUACUGGGAAAAGAAUCUCUGGAUGAGCUGGAGGAAAUGGUGACAGAAUUGUUUGCAACAGUAGAAGAUAAAAAUGUUACUGCCCCUAGAUGGGAGGAACAUCCAUUUGAUGAUGAACAUUUCAAAACCUUAGUAUACAUAUCCCCUGUUAAAGAUGUAAGAAAUCUUAACAUAGUAUUCCCCAGUGUUGAUCUCACACCCUACUACAAGUCUGCGCCGGGACACUACAUAAGCCAUUUAAUGGGACAUGAAGGACCUGGAAGUAUUUUAUCUAUAUUGAAAGCCAGGGGUUGGUCGAACAAUCUCGUUGCCGGCAACAGACCUGCCCCAAGAGGCAUAGGUUUUUUCGGUAUUGCUGUGGAUCUCACAGAGGAAGGUAUUGAUCACGUGGAUGAUAUCGUGAAACUUGUAUUUCAGUAUUUGAACAUGUUGAAAGCUGAAGGGCCAUUGAAAUGGGUGCAAGAAGAAAACAGGGAUAUUGGCCUAAUGUCCUUUAGAUUUAAAGACAGAGAAUCGCCUAGGGGCUAUAUCUCUGGUUUGGUUCACAAUCUCCAGGAGUAUCCAAUGGAAGAUAUUCUUUCUGUACAUUACAUAUUCACGGAGUGGGAACCGGAGUUGAUUGAACAAAUCUGGAACGAGUUUGUUCCUGAUAAAGUUAGAUUAGCGGUGAUCGCCAAGAAAUUCGAGAAAGAGUUAGAUGAGGUGGAACCAUGGUAUGGAACUAAGUACAAGAAGAUCAACAUAUCCGAGGACAUUCUGCAAGACUGGCGCCAAGCCGGAUUGUGUAACGAACUAAAAAUACCGCCAAAGAACGAAUUUAUCCCCACCGACUUUGAUUUGUAUCCGAUUGACAACGAUGUAACUGAAUAUCCAGUAAUUAUUCAAGAUACUGCCUUAAGCAGGAUUUGGUUCAAACAAGAUGACAAAUUUUUAUUGCCAAAAGCCAAUGUCAUGUUCGAUUUUGUCAGCCCUCUGGCGUAUUUAGAUCCCAUCAAUUGUAAUUUAACUCAUAUGCUGGUGCAAUUGUUUAGAGAUGCUCUCAAUGAAUAUGCAUAUGCAGCUGAAUGUGCAGGUCUCAGGUGGGAACUGCUGAAUACCAAAUAUGGUCUUAUUCUUGCCAUUGGUGGUUAUAGUAACAAACAACAUAUUUUAUUGGAAAAAGUGAUAGAAAAACUAGUUAAUUUUAAAAUUGAUCCCAAAAGAUUCGCUAUAUACAAGGAAAAUUACAUCAGAAAUUUGAAGAACUUCUCAGCUGAACAACCCUACCAGCAUGCUGUGUAUUAUUUGUCGGUCUUGUUGACGGAACAUUCGUGGACCAAACAAGAGUUAUUGGCAGCUACUGACCAAUUGACUAUUGACAAACUGGAAGCCUUUAUUCCGCAAAUGCUAUCAAAGAUGCACAUAGAAUGUCUGGUGCACGGUAAUGCCAAUAAGGAAAAGGCUUUAAAACUUGCCCAGAUUGUAGAGGAUCAUUUGACAUCGGCUCUUAGCAUGUCGCCUCUAUUGCCUCGCCAGCUUUUGCUCAACAGAGAACUGAAACUGGAAGACGGAUCUCACUAUGUAUACCAAGUUGAAAAUAAGGUGCACAAGUCGUCCUGUAUCGAAUUGUACUAUCAGUGUGGACUGCAGUCUAAGGAAAAUAACAUGAAAUUAGAGUUAUUCGCUCAGAUUAUUCAAGAGCCCUGCUUUAAUAUUCUCAGAACCAAGGAACAAUUAGGUUACAUAGUUUUUAGCGGUAUUAGACGUGCAAACGGUGUUCAGGGUUUAAGGAUUAUCGUGCAGUCUGACAGACACCCCGAAUUUUUGGAUACGAGGAUAGAACAGUUUUUGGAGAGCAUGCUCGAACAUAUUGAAAAAAUGUCAGACCAAGAAUUCGUGAGGCACAGGGAUGCUUUGGCAGCUCAACGAUUGGAAAAACCGAAACAGUUAACAGCUCAAUCCAACCUGUACUGGACGGAAAUCACUUCCCAGCAAUACCACUUUGACAGAGCCAACACUGAAGUGGCCUAUCUCAAAACCUUGACUAAGGAGGAUGUCAUAAACUUUUACAAGAACAUCCUAAAGGAGAAUAGUCCGCAUCGCAAAAAACUAGCUGUGCAAGUGGUGAGCAGCGCCGAGGGCGGAGCUGGCCUCCUCUCGGAAGCGGAGCGAUUAGGCGACGCAAAACCACGGGAUACUGAAACCCCACCAACCGUUAUCGAAGAUGUGACCGUGUUUAAGAGCACGCACGAAAUGCAUCCGCUGGUCCAACCCUACAUCAACAUCACACGCAAAGAUGACUCAAGAAUAGAAUGCAAGGAUCUAACAAAAUAAACCAGUUUUCUACAGUAUGUAUAUAAUUACAUAAAUAUAUAAGGAAAUAAAUGAGUACUUUUCUUCGGUCAGUGUGGAUGCUGACACAGUAUACAUUUCAAGUGUAGGCGUAAUUUUACCCAGUAUCCCUGAAAUUAUAUGGUCAUGUCCAAGCUGGUCCAUUAUAAAUAUUUUGUGUUCCUUAACGAAGCUAUUACUUUCAGGUCUUAAUUGGAUUGCAACAUUAUUAGUUCCCAUAUAAUGAGGAUAAAAUUGUAUGUGAAGUGUAUGACCUAAAAUAAAUUUUAUAAUUAAAAAUUUAACUAAUUUAAAAUAAAGUAUUUGGAUAG